RNAcentral lists this ribosomal RNA (430 nucleotides) under Pseudomonadota bacterium. RNAcentral's name for it is "Proteobacteria bacterium partial 16S ribosomal RNA". It matches the Rfam family "Bacterial small subunit ribosomal RNA", at positions 355 to 776 of the family's 1533-position model. The record is from RNAcentral. Lineage: Bacteria; Pseudomonadati; Pseudomonadota.
UGGGGAAUAUUGGACAAUGGGGGGAACCCUGAUCCAGCCAUGCCGCGUGUGUGAAGAAGGCCGUAUGGUUGUAAAGCACUUUAAGCGAGGAGGAGGGUACUGGUAUUAAUACUACCAGGUACUGGACGUUACUCGCAGAAUAAGCACCGGCUAACUCUGUGCCAGCAGCCGCGGUAAUACAGAGGGUGCGAGCGUUAAACGGAUUUACUGGGCGUAAAGCGUGCGUAGGCGGCUAAGUGAGUCGGAUGUGAAAUCCCCGAGCUUAACUUGGGAAUUGCAUUCGAUACUGGUUAGCUAGAGUGUGGGAGAGGAUGGUAGAAUUCCAGGUGUAGCGGUGAACUGCGUAUCGAUCUGGAGGAAUACCGAUGGCGAAUUCAGCCAUCUGGCCUAACACUGACGCUGAGGUACGAAAGCAUGGGGCGCAAACCGG